CCCUUAGAUGUUCUGGGCCGCACGCGCACUACACUGAUGAAUUCAACGAGCUCCUAACCUAGGCCGAAGGGUCCGGGUAAUCUUUGAAAUUUCAUCGUGAUGGGGAUAGAUUAUUGCAAUUAUUAAUCUUCAACGAGGAAUUCCUAGUAAGCGCGAGUCAUCAGCUCGCGUUGAUUACGUCCCUGCCCUUUGUACACACCGCCCGUCGCUCCUACCGAUUGAAUGGUCCGGUGAAAUGUUCGGACCGCGACAAGGCGGACGGUUCGCUGUCAGCUUUGCUGCGGGAAGUUCAUUAAACCUUAUCAUUUAGAGGAAGGAGAAGUCGUAACA
Molecule: ribosomal RNA, 330 nt
Filed under: uncultured eukaryote
Lineage: Eukaryota
Description: partial 18S ribosomal RNA
Rfam family: Eukaryotic small subunit ribosomal RNA
Source: RNAcentral